Molecule: long non-coding RNA, 1487 nt
Organism: Magnolia sinica
Lineage: Eukaryota; Viridiplantae; Streptophyta; Magnoliopsida; Magnoliales; Magnoliaceae
Exons: 4
Source: RefSeq, a predicted model, not a curated record
CAAAUGUUGAUCUGACACGACCUGAUUUUUGGGCUAAACAGAUUUUAGGCCCCACCAUGGUUUUCUGUUUGCAGGUUGAAGAUGUGUUUGGCAUCGUGGCCACUAAAUCAACGGUCCCUAUCACCUCGUUAAAGAAUUUUGUCGCUUUGAAGUAUGACUUGUCAGGUCUCCAGUUAGGGGUGGAAAUGGGCUGGGCCCACCUAAUGAGUCACUGGACAAGAUGGUCAUAUGUCCAAAAUUGGAACUUAUUGUGCAAGUUUGGAUUUUCGCCUUUGGUGGGACACAAUCGCCUCUGUUUCCCUGUUUCCCUGUUAAACAAUCUCUGUUUCCCUGUUACAUAAGGUCCUUCCGUCUAUCCAAUUUCAUUUGUAGAAAAUCUAAAAUCCCUGUUUUCUUUUUCUUCUUUUGGUGUUACAGGUGCAGAUCAUUCAUCAGUUCAGAUAUUCAGAAAGGAUUUUUAUCAAGAGAUUCGACUGAGGAAUUGUAAGGUGCUCCACUUCCAAGAGGUCAGGUGCUUGCUAAAAAGGUGGUUGAACCCAAUGGUGAUCACAUAGAGGAUAAACCAGUAAGUUCCUCAGACUUUUUACUCUUGGAUGUCAUAAGACAAAAAUCAUACCAUCUGCUCAUUCGCAUGGAAAUAAGUUUUAUGUAAGCUAAUUGCAUAAAACAGCGGUGUUUUGUGAAGGUGUGGGUUAGUAGUUUCAAUGAUGGGUGGAUCGUCUCCACAUUUCCUAGUUGGGACCAGAAUGGAUUGCUCCUCGGUCACUUUUACAUCACACAUAGUGGACAUGUGAUCAUGGCCAGUGAGGUUGGUGUUGUAGACAUCUGCUAGAAGAUGUGGCCAGGAAAGGAAGACUUAACCCUGGAAUGAUGCUACUGGUAGAUUUUGAGAAUUGUAUUGUUGUUGAUGAUGAGGCCUUGAGGCAGCAAUACUCUCUAGACAGAAAAUAGAACUUGAGGAUAUCAUAAAUUCUGUUCCUGAAGCUGAUAGAGUCCCACCUACCAUAUCUGGAACGGUGCCUGUAUAUCGACAUGAUGAUAAUAACAUGGAAAACAUGGGAAUUCAUGGGUUGUUGGCUCCAUUGAAGGCUUUUGGAUACACUGUAGAAGCCCUGGAGAUGCUGUUGUUGCCUAUGGCAAAAGAUGGUACUGAGGCUCUUGGCUCAAUGGGAAAUGAUGCUCCUUUGGCUGUGAUGUCCAACAGAGAGAAACUUACAUUUGAGUAUUUCAAGCAGAUGUUUGCUCAGGUUACAAACCCACCAAUUGAUCUGAUCUGAGAGAAAAUAGUCACGUGGAAGGGGACCUUACUGGAACAGUUCAAGUGGAAGGCUAUGUGGCAGUUUGUUUGUUUUGAAAACUUUAAAUAGACCAUUAAUUGUUUUGUUGGUAUUGUGCUGAUUGUGGUCUUGAUGGAUGUUAAAUGGGUGAAACAUGCACAGGUUCAAUCAUUGGUUGAUUAUAAUAUUGUUAGCUUUUGUUGAUAGAAA